AGAGUUUGAUCAUGGCUCAGGACGAACGCUGGCGGCGUGCCUAACACAUGCAAGUCGAACGGGGUACCCUUGACAGAGGCUUCGGCCAAUGGAGAGGAAUACCUAGUGGCGGACGGGUGAGUAACGCGUGAGUAAUCUGCCUUUAGGAGGGGGAUAACAGCUGGAAACAGCUGCUAAUACCGCAUAAUGUAUCGGGAUGGCAUCAUCGUGAUACCAAAGGAGCAAUCCGCCUUUAG
RNAcentral lists this ribosomal RNA (236 nucleotides) under uncultured bacterium. Its description in RNAcentral is "partial 16S ribosomal RNA". It matches the Rfam family "Bacterial small subunit ribosomal RNA", at positions 8 to 224 of the family's 1533-position model. The record is from RNAcentral.